GUCCACGCCCUAAACGAUGUCGACUAGGUGUUGGGGAAGGAGACUUCCUUAGUACCGCAGCUAACGCGUGAAGUCGACCGCCUGGGGAGUACGGUCGCAAGAUUAAAACUCAAAGGAAUUGACGGGGACCCCGCACAAGCGGUGGAUGAUGUGGAUUAAUUCGAUGCAACGCGAAAACCUUACCUACCCUUGACAUGUCAGGAAGUUGGCCGAGAGGUCGAUGUGCCCGAAAGGGACCUGAACACAGGUGCUGCAUGGCUGUCGU
RNAcentral lists this ribosomal RNA (265 nucleotides) under uncultured bacterium. RNAcentral's name for it is "partial 16S ribosomal RNA". It matches the Rfam family "Bacterial small subunit ribosomal RNA", at positions 793 to 1055 of the family's 1533-position model. The record is from RNAcentral.